Molecule: non-coding RNA, 134 nt
Organism: Triticum aestivum (bread wheat)
Lineage: Eukaryota; Viridiplantae; Streptophyta; Magnoliopsida; Poales; Poaceae
Source: Rfam
UAUGUAAUACUUUCCGUCCGGAAAUACUUGUCGUCAAAAUGGAUAGAAGGGGAUGUAUUUAGACGUAUUUUAGUUCUAAGUACAUCUCUUUUUAUUCCUCUUGAUGACAAGUAUUUCGACGGAGGGAUUACCAA